GAUGAAGAAGCAGCGAAAUGCGAUAAGUAAUGUGAAUUGCAGAAUUCAGUGAAUCAUCGAAUCUUUGAACGCACAUUGCGCCCGCCAGUAUUCUGGCGGGCAUGCCUGUUCGAGCGUCAUUUCAACCAUCAAGCCCCCGGCUUGUGUUGGGGACCUGCGGCUGCCGCAGGCCCUGAAAAGCAGUGGCGGGCUCGCUGUCACACCGAGCGUAGUAGCAUACAUCUCGCUCUGGGCGUGCUGCGGGUUCCGGCCGUUAAACCACCUUCAUAACCCAAGGUUGACCUCGGAUCAGGUAGGAAGACCCGCUGAACUUAAGCAUAUCAAUAAGCGGAGGA
This 335-nucleotide unclassified non-coding RNA is filed under the name soil metagenome. RNAcentral's name for it is "partial contains 5.8S ribosomal RNA, internal transcribed spacer 2, and large subunit ribosomal RNA". The stretch from base 1 to 119 matches the Rfam family "5.8S ribosomal RNA", at positions 35 to 154 of the family's 154-position model. The record is from RNAcentral.